Molecule: ribosomal RNA, 254 nt
Filed under: uncultured bacterium
Lineage: Bacteria
Description: partial 16S ribosomal RNA
Rfam family: Bacterial small subunit ribosomal RNA
Source: RNAcentral
GACAGAGGGUGCAAACGUUGUUCAGAAUUACUGGGCGUAAAGCGAGUGUAGGCGGUGUGGUAAGUCGGAUGUGAAAGCCCCCGGGCUCAACCCGGGAAGUGCAUUCGAUACUGCCACGCUAGAGUAUCGGAGAGGUUGGUGGAAUUCUCGGUGUAGAGGUGAAAUUCGUAGAUAUCGAGAGGAACACCAGUGGCGAAGGCGGCGACCUGGACGGACAUUGACGCUGAGACGCGAAAGCGUGGGGAGCAAACAGG